GGCCGGGCCGCCGCGUGUCAUGGCGCCGCGAGGUAUUGACAUGAGGAAAGUCCGGGCAUCGCAGGGCAGGAUAACGGAUAACGUCCGCCGAAGGAAACUUCCGGGAAAGUGCAACAGAAAUAGACUACCAACGCCCACGGGCACGGUACAGAUGGAAAGGCGAGGUAAAAGCUCACCGGCACGACAGGCAACUGUGUGCAAAUGUAAACCCUAUCCGAUGCAACGCCUCCACGCGGGGAUCUCCUUCGGGGGAUCAUGCCGGCCCGGCAGAACCGCGGAGGCGGCACAGAGGCGGCUGGCGACAACCGUCCCAGAUAGAUGGCGGCUGCGGAGCUCGCUCCGUACAGAACCCGGCUUACACGCCUGCC
Molecule: RNase P RNA, 368 nt
Filed under: bovine gut metagenome
Description: Bacterial RNase P class A
Rfam family: Bacterial RNase P class A
About the family: Ribonuclease P (RNase P) is a ubiquitous endoribonuclease, found in archaea, bacteria and eukarya as well as chloroplasts and mitochondria. Its best characterised activity is the generation of mature 5'-ends of tRNAs by cleaving the 5'-leader elements of precursor-tRNAs. Cellular RNase Ps are ribonucleoproteins.
Source: RNAcentral